Molecule: ribosomal RNA, 492 nt
Filed under: uncultured bacterium
Lineage: Bacteria
Description: partial 16S ribosomal RNA
Rfam family: Bacterial small subunit ribosomal RNA
Source: RNAcentral
AGUGAACGCUGGCGGUAGGCCUAACACAUGCAAGUCGAACGGCAGCACAGUAAGAGCUUGCUCUUACGGGUGGCGAGUGGCGGACGGGUGAGGAAUACAUCGGAAUCUACUUUUUCGUGGGGGCUAACGUCGGGAAACUUACGCUAAUACCGCAUACGACCUACGGGUGAAAGCAGGGGAUCUUUGGACCUUGUGCGAUUGAAUGAGCCGAUGUCGGAUUAGCUAGUUGGCGGGGUAAAGGCCCACCAAGGCGACGAUCCGUAGCUGGUCUGAGAGGGUGAUCAGCCACACUGGAAGUGAGACACGGUCCAGACUCCUACAGGAGGCAGCAGUGGGGAAUAUUGGACGAUGGGCGCAAGCCUGAUCCAGCCAUACCGCGUGGGGGAAGAAGGCCUUCGGGUUGUAAAGCCCUUUUGUUGGGAAAGAAAAGCAGCAGGUUAAUACCCCGCUGUUCUGACGGUACCCAAAGAAUAAGCACCGGCUAACUUCGUG